RNAcentral lists this ribosomal RNA (377 nucleotides) under uncultured eukaryote. RNAcentral's name for it is "partial 18S ribosomal RNA". It matches the Rfam family "Eukaryotic small subunit ribosomal RNA", at positions 592 to 976 of the family's 1831-position model. The record is from RNAcentral.
CAAUAGCGUAUAUUAAAGUUGUUGCAGUUAAAAAGCUCGUAGUUGGAUUUCGGGGCAGCCUGGCUGGUCCGCCGCAAGGCGAGUACUGGUCAGCCGCCCUUCCUCUCGAAAGCCCCGACUGCUCUUUAUUGCAGUGGUCGGGUAGUUCGGGACGUUUACUUUGAAAAAAUUAGAGUGUUCAAGGCAGGCCUACGCCUGAAUACAUUAGCAUGGAAUAAUGGAAGAGGACCUCGGCCCUAUUUUGUUGGUUUCCAGGACCGAAGUAAUGAUUAAGAGGGACAGUUGUGGGCAUUCGUAUUUAAUUGUCAGAGGUGAAAUUCUCGGAUUUAUGAAAGACGAACAACUGCGAAAGCAUUUGCCAAGGAUGUUUUCAUUAA